Phaseolus vulgaris (common bean) is the source of this 106-nucleotide non-coding RNA. NCBI's taxonomy places the organism in Eukaryota, Viridiplantae, Streptophyta, Magnoliopsida, Fabales, Fabaceae. The record is from Rfam.
AAUCUGUGAUUUAGGCAUAUUCUCAACAUUACUUUAAAUCUCUCCCAAGCUUCACAAAAAGGUUCAUCUGGUCUUUGUCUAAACAUAGAGAUGUUAGACUUUGUUU